CUUUAUAUUUGCGGCUUGAUAAGCAUAUACAAAAGAAGUACACGUCAUUAUACGGCUAUGGGAAACAAAAUAUACGUGGAUGAAAAAAAUGCACAAAAUUAUAUUAAGUAAAGCCACCAUUGGUGGUGACCAUAUUAUUCCACAGGUAUAUAGAUCUUUCCCUUCGGAGUUCAGUAGAGACACCAAGUGAGUUGAGCAAAGAUACCAAGCACCUCAAACAACAAGCAAUGUCCCCUACUUCUCUCAUCCACCAAAUAUAGCAUAAACUACAUCAAUGCCACAGGGGCAUGAAUUAGACACAGGCAACAAACUUGCAGGUGGAAACAGUUGGCAAAAAGUAUAUGCAUAGAUUACAAAAACUUACAGGUGGAAACAGGGAAAGAAACAGGCAACAAACAGUAUAAGCCAGACAAUUGUUUAACUUUUAACUCCCAAAGGCAGAUAGCAAAGGAAAAUCCUGAAAGAUCUCAAGGUCUUCUGAAUAAUCUUCCAGGAAUUUUCAAUGCAAUACAGUUAUAGUCUUGAAGGAUGAAAGAUUCAAGCUAGAUAUAGCUUAAACAGAAAACUGGGUCAUUGAAUUAAUUAGAAGAAUCUGAUCAGCCAAUUCUCCUCAUCUUUACUUACCAGGUUUGUCAUCACCCACUAUAAUACAAUCAACUAGUGGAAGAUACUUAAAAACAGUUUUAACAACCCAAUUUGACAUUUGGUAAAAGUGUCUGUUUGUUCUAUCUAAUUGGUAUUUUUCCAUUAGUUCCUUCAACUUUUAUUAGCAAAGAACUUAAACCCAACCCAUAGAUAAAUGCCUUGUGAUUAGCAGGUUUCAAUAUUUAACACAACAUACAAAUAUAAGUAAUUCAGUAUCUACUGGCCAUUAUAAACACAAAUAUUCAUAAAGCGGACCUUUUCCUACCCACAAGGAAGAAUAUGAAAAUGAAUUUUUCCUACCCACAAGGAAGAAUAUGAAAAUGAAUUGGCAAUAUCUGCACCCAAUUUGAUAAGCAAAAUAGCAGGGUGGACCUAGAGAUCAUAAUUUUUUUUUCCCUAUACAU
Molecule: unclassified non-coding RNA, 1049 nt
Filed under: Hevea brasiliensis (rubber tree)
Lineage: Eukaryota; Viridiplantae; Streptophyta; Magnoliopsida; Malpighiales; Euphorbiaceae
Source: RNAcentral